Molecule: non-coding RNA, 105 nt
Organism: Cucumis melo (muskmelon)
Lineage: Eukaryota; Viridiplantae; Streptophyta; Magnoliopsida; Cucurbitales; Cucurbitaceae
Source: RefSeq, marked provisional
UAUGCCCCUGCCUGGCUCCCUGAAUGCCAACUACGAAGGCUUUGCUAAAAGUUCUUAUUCGCAUCCUUCUUAAUUGGCAUCACGGGAGUCAUGCAGGCACCUUUA